ACAGAAAGACAAAGAGAGAGAGAAAGAGAGACAAGCAAACAAAAUGAAACAAAAAAGAAGAAAAGUCGUUCAGCGUCAUAUUUUUCCUCUUCAAUUUACCCCAACCGCUCUUUCUUCCAAUCAUUUUUCUUU
RNAcentral lists this non-coding RNA (132 nucleotides) under Protocruzia adhaerens. Lineage: Eukaryota; Ciliophora; Spirotrichea. The record is from RNAcentral.